AUGAGAAUGAGUGCUCCUGCUCCAGUUGCUAUAGGCACAAGAGGUACAAUUGGAUCUCUAGUAAGGAAGGAAAUUGAAUACUUCACCAAAAUCGAGUUAGACAAAUUAGGAAAAUCACAAAAGUCUCAUUCACACUUUGUGAACAUGGUUUCUAGCAGUUUCAGGAUGUUGUUAAAGACGAAGAAGCAAAGAGCAAAAACAUGUUGUGUUAUACAAGUAACAGAAAACGUUAAUUUCAAUAGAAUUCCUGGUUACAAUUACAGGAUCCUCAAAGAUCAUGACAUCAACUGA
Non-coding RNA from Vicia faba (fava bean), 291 nucleotides. NCBI's taxonomy places the organism in Eukaryota, Viridiplantae, Streptophyta, Magnoliopsida, Fabales, Fabaceae. The record is from the annotation of a GenBank genome assembly.